CGCGGCCUAUCAGCUUGUUGGUGGGGCGAUGGCCUACCAAGGCGACGACGGGUAGCCGGCCUGAGAGGGCGACCGGCCACACUGGGACUGAGACACGGCCCGGACUCCUACGGGAGGCAGCAGUGGGGAAUAUUGCACAAUGGGCGGAAGCCUGAUGCAGCGACGCCGCGUGAGGGAUGACGGCCUUCGGGUUGUAAACCUCUUUCACCCAUGACGAAGCGAGAGUGACGGUAGUGGGAGAAGAAGCGCCGGCCAACUACGUGCCAGCAGCCGCGGUAAGACGUAGGGCGCGAGCGUUGUCCGGAUUUAUUGGGCGUAAAGAGCUCGUAGGCGGCUUGUCGCGUCGAAUGUGAAAUCUCAGGGCUCAACUCUGACAUUGCAUUCGAUACGGGCAGGCUAGAGUUCGGUAGGGGAGACUGGAAUUCCUGGUGUAGCGGUGAAAUGCGCAGAUAUCAGGAGGAACACCGGUGGCGAAGGCGGGUCUCUGGGCCGAUACUGACGCUGAGGAGCGAAAGCGUGGGGAGCGAACAGGAUUAGAUACCCUGGUAGUCCACGCUGUAAACGUUGGGCGCUAGGUGUGGGGGGCCUCUCCGGUUCUCUGUGCCGCAGCUAACGCAUUAAGCGCCCCGCC
RNAcentral lists this ribosomal RNA (631 nucleotides) under uncultured bacterium. RNAcentral's name for it is "bacterial SSU rRNA". It matches the Rfam family "Bacterial small subunit ribosomal RNA", at positions 232 to 873 of the family's 1533-position model. The record is from RNAcentral.